AUUGAACGCUGGCGGCAGGCCUAACACAUGCAAGUCGAACGGUAGCACAGAGAGCUUGCUCUCGUGUGACGAGUGGCGGACGGGUGAGUAAUGUCUGGGAAACUGCCCGAUUGAGGGGGAUAACUACUGUAAACGGUAGCUAAUACCGCAUAAUUUCGCAAGACCAAAGAGGGGGACCUUCGGUCCUCUUUCCAUCGUAUGUUCCCAGAUGGGAUUAGCUAGUUGGUUAGGUAAUGGCUCACCAAGGCGACGAUCCCUAGCUGGUCUGAGAGGAUGACCAGCCACACUGGAACUGAGACACGGUCCAGACUCCUACGGGAGGCAGCAGUGGGGAAUAUUGCACAAUGGGCGCAAGCCUGAUGCAGCCAUGCCGCGUGUGUGAAGAAGGCCUUCGGGUUGUAAAGCACUUUCAGCGGGGAGGAAGGCAAUACGGUUAAUAACCGUGUUGAUUGACGUUACCCGCAGAAGAAGCACCGGCUAACUCCGUG
This 488-nucleotide ribosomal RNA is filed under the name uncultured bacterium. RNAcentral's name for it is "partial 16S ribosomal RNA". It matches the Rfam family "Bacterial small subunit ribosomal RNA", at positions 30 to 507 of the family's 1533-position model. The record is from RNAcentral.